This 253-nucleotide ribosomal RNA is filed under the name uncultured bacterium. RNAcentral describes it as "partial 16S ribosomal RNA". It matches the Rfam family "Bacterial small subunit ribosomal RNA", at positions 524 to 776 of the family's 1533-position model. The record is from RNAcentral.
GACAGAGGGUGCAAACGUUGUUCGGAAUUACUGGGCGUAAAGCGAGUGUAGGCGGUCUCGUAAGUCGGGUGUGAAAUCCCUCGGCUCAACUGAGGAACUGCCUUUGAAACUGCAAGGCUUGAGGCCGGGAGGGGGUAGCGGAAUUCCCAAUGUAGCGGUGAAAUGCGUAGAUAUUGGGAGGAACACCAGUGGCGAAGGCGGCUACCUGGACCGGUUCUGACGCUGAGGCGCGAAAGCGUGGGUAGCAAACAGG